GAGCAUUAUGGUUAAGCUACUAAGAGCACACGGAGGAUGCCUAGGCGCUAGGAGCCGAAGAAGGACGUGGCGAACAACGAAACUGCCUCGGGGAGCUGUAAGCAAGCUUUGAUCCGGGGGUGUCCGAA
RNAcentral lists this ribosomal RNA (128 nucleotides) under Paenibacillus woosongensis. RNAcentral describes it as "partial 23S ribosomal RNA". It matches the Rfam family "Bacterial large subunit ribosomal RNA", at positions 1 to 118 of the family's 2925-position model. The record is from RNAcentral. Lineage: Bacteria; Bacillati; Bacillota; Bacilli; Caryophanales; Paenibacillaceae.